Molecule: ribosomal RNA, 253 nt
Filed under: uncultured bacterium
Lineage: Bacteria
Description: partial 16S ribosomal RNA
Rfam family: Bacterial small subunit ribosomal RNA
Source: RNAcentral
UACGUAGGCAGCAAGCGUUGUUAGGAAUUACUGGGCGUAAAGGGUGCGUAGGCGGUUUUGUAAGUUUGGAGUGAAAUCUCCCGGCUUAACUGGGAGGGUGCGCCGAAAACUGCAAGGCUAGAGUGCAGGAGAGGAGAGUGGAAUUCCUGGUGUAGCGGUGAAAUGCGUAGAUAUCAGGAGGAACACCGGUGGUGUAGACGGCUCUCUUGACUGUUACUGACGCUGAGGCACGAAAUCGUGGGGUGCAAACAGG